UCAGAUGCGAAAACAACUGCAGUGUAUGGGGAGCCUUCAGAAGUAAAGAUGCCCAAGAUAAAAAGGUGUAGAGCACAAAGUGGACUGCAAGAUUGACAGGUUGGUGGCCUCCACAUCAGUGCUGCUUCCAUGCCUUCCUGGCUUGCUCCUGGUCAUGGAAAAAUUGUAUUUAUCUUUUUGUGCUGAGGGAACCUCCAGAAAGAAACAAAAAAAUAAUUAAUUCCAUAGCAAUGGAGAAGUUAGGCCAUGAGGAUAAAAUACUGCUUAUGACCCUACUGUCCACAUACCUGCCUGACUUUUCUUAGCUACUGCCUCCAUGAAGGCGGAUGUAGUAUACAGAAGUCAGCAAAUGAGUGGAAAUUGGGAUCUACGCAAGAUCGAGUAUCUAGUUACAUUUUGGUCAUAUUCAAUAACCAAGGGCGUCUCAAUAUAGCACAGACGGCCUAUGUAUAUGAACCAAAUCCGACGAAAGGAAUACCCAAGCAUUUAAAAGGGAAACAACAUCAGUAUAGUGCAUAUCCACUACAUAGCUCACUAUAGUAGUCAGUAUAGAUGCACAAAAACUUGCUCUUAUUGCGUAUUGAGUGGCAAGUCGUGCAAUCGCAUACUUUGUGUUGGAGUUGUGUAUAGCCCGAGAUAUUUUGUUGUGUGUGAGAUAAUGACUGAAAAGAAAGGAAAAGAUAAAGUCCCCUAUGCCAAUGAUAAUGGCUGGCAGAAAGGAAACAUGCUUUUCACAUCCAGGAGAAAUAAAAUACGGAAGAAUCGAGAGAAGAUUAUGUCAACCUACAUAUGUAGCCUGAUUUGUGUAAAGAUCGUAGACUAGCAUAUGUGGCCUGUGAGUCUUACGAGUCUACGAAUAUAUGUCCCUAAAGCAAGUAGGGACACUCAUGGACUAGCAUAAAACAAUUCUCAACAGACAUACUUCACAGCUUAUUAUCUACUAAGAGUCUAAGAAGUAACCAAAAUGAGAACAUACUAUUGAAUUUUCCAUAAACAACACACAGUAUCGGGGGUUUUCUGAUUCAUAAAGAUCUGUCAAGAUCCAUUUGUAAAAUGCAUGUGAACCAUGUAGAAACAAAAAUAUUGAGGUGGUCCGUAUCAGCAUGCUCGAACUGCAGUAUCCGGAUGUAAAAGAUUAUAGGUUCCCAACGAAGUUCCUGUAAGAAACACGCACCCGCAACAGUCCAGUUCAGACUUCAAACUUGCCGUUUGUUUUGCCAAAGAAUUUGAUGCUAAAGCUAAGAGCAUGAAAUUAUUGUAUAGAAGUAUAGAAAAUGGAACCCAGAGUAAUUAUGUUUUCUCUUUCUACUUUUGAGAAACAUAAUAAUACCUGCUCGUCGUGCCUUUGGACUAAUUAUUUAAAUGAAGUGCAUAUAUCUGUACAUAAGAAAAUGAGUACUAAAAUAUUUCAAAUCAAGUAAAAGGGAAAUAAGCAUACACUUACUCAACAAAUGGUUAUGAAAAUACAUCACGUUUUACGGUUUGCUUCAUUUAUUUUGCAUUUCAGUUAACAAAAUUGCAUGUCUUUGCCUUCACUUCAAAAGUAAUUUUCGUAAAUAUGCCUACACACAAAAUAAUGAACCACAACUUACAUGCACAGAUUGCUCUACUUUUUGGGGGAACAUGAGUGUGCUAUUAAUCAAAACUGGUGAAGUCAACUCAUAGAGUAAACCGGCAAGAAACAAGAGUUAGAUGCAAUCCAAAUCCAGUAUAUGUAGUACCAUACCCUUCUGCAGUUUGUACCAUAGAGCAAGAGACAAGGGAAGGCAAUUUUAAUCCAAGGACAACCUCAUCGAUGAUUCUCUAUAUCAGGCCCACCACGCAAAGAGGCCCCACGAGAGCCUUCUUGUCCUGUCUAUAAAUGAGAGGCAAGAGCCAUCAAACCAGUGCACAACUAAGACAAAGUGGCUUCCUUUCACUAAUACCAACCUUCUUCCCAUCAGGCUGGAGUUCAUCAAGGAUAUAAGCCUGAAACUGGAGCCCACAAGCACACAGAGGAGGGAGAGCAACAAGGCAGGCUCCCAGCCCAUCCAAGGUAGAAGCGAACAACGCUAGUGAUGGUGACAGUGCAAGAUGAGAUGCGCAAGGGGCCAUGGACAGAGCAGGAGGACCUGCAACUGGUAUGCACUGUCCGCCUGUUCGGUGAUCGCCGCUGGGAUUUCGUUGCCAAAGUCUCAGGUUUGAGGGGUGGGAGACCUGCAAAUUAGGUAGCCAUUUUUGCAAUCCUUGGCACAAAGAUGCAAACAGCACGCAAUAUCAUUAUCUCUAACCAACUAUCUUCAUACAUCACCUUAUCUAUGACCAUGUAGGACUUAACAGGACAGGCAAAAGCUGCCGCCUCAGGUGGGUCAACUACCUCCACCCUGGCCUCAAGCAUGGGCGCAUGUCGCCGCAAGAGGAACACCUUAUUAUUGAGCUCCAUGCUCGAUGGGGUAACAGGUUUGGUCCAAAAGAAGAUCUUACUAAAGCAGCCUUUUUUCAUCUAAAACAGGUGAAACACACUAACAUCCUCUCUAUGUAUAGGUGGUCUAGAAUAGCACGCAGACUGCCAGGGCGUACGGACAAUGAGAUCAAGAACUACUGGAGGACACACAUGAGGAAGAAAGCACAGGAGAGGAAGACAGACAUGUCACCUUCUUCCUCCUCAUCAUCAUUUACAUACCAAUCCUGCCUCCUUGAAACUGCACCAAUAAUCAGGAUGGAUGAAAGCAGCACUCAUAAUGGCACUACCUGCUUCUCAAGUGUACUUAAGAGCAACCAGAGUGUCAUGGAUGGAUAUUCUAUGGACCAGAUAUGGAAGGAGAUAGAGGCACCGGCCAUGCUGCCCAUUGAUGAUACAUCAUGCAGCAAUCUCCCAUCUCCUCUGCUGCCAUUCACUAUAGGAGAUCACUACUGCCCUCCCGGGGUAAUCUGGAAGAUGGACAAUGGUGAUCUCAAAAUGUUAGCUCCACAAUUUGGUUAUGGUAAUGGAGAACGUUCCUGCUAUUGAAGGUUCAAGCUGUCAGGAUCGAGGUCAGGUUACUAAGAUACAUAUAUGUGCUUAACAGAUUUCCACUACCUAUGUAGCUAUGUCUGCAUAAACAUGUAUAUGCUUGCCAGUAGCUAUGUUUGCAUUAGUAUGGAGGGUGAUCUAAAUAUUUACAAAUCUACUGUAACAUUGUAAAUUUUCAGGUCUGCUUACGAUGUGUGUGCCUAUGUAGUGUGUAAAAUAGCUUAUGUCUCUUGCCCUUCACAGAAUGGAAUGCGAGAGCAAUUUAUCUGCAUGAUAAAGCAGUCAAUCUCCAAUGGUAUUUUGGUAAAAAUGUUAGACUGACACAAAUGUGCAUUAUACACCAUUUCACUAUCGGAAUUGUAAUAUCCUCCCCCACCUGAUUCUAAAGCUACAAACAGGGCCAUGAGAUUCUAUGGUCGUAUCUCAAGGUGCAAACAAAAGAAGAGGAAAAUGGGUACAGAAUCAGCAUUAUUUCUUCAAAUCGUUCUUGCUACUACACUCUCAUUUCCUUCCACAGGAUGUUGAGAUUGAAGCUCUUGAUAAAAUGGCUUCUGGAACCUAAGGAACGUCAAAGAGAACAAGUAUUUCUCAAAUAAACACGCGGACCCUGAAAACAUAUGUUUUUAAUUACAAACUGAGGCUGCUGUACAAACAUCUGUAUGCAUAUGUGAUCUGAGUGGAAUUGACAGACUUAGUGCAGAGUGAGUGGCCUAUCACUUCAACUCUCUUAAAAAGGCUGAGCAUUAGACUUUGCUAGAACAAAAGAAUGCUAGAUUGUAUACGACACAUAAGAUUAGCAGGAAGUCGCAGAUUAUCCAUUUAACAAAUAGGAAAGUUAGCACUUCAGUAAGAUAAAUAACGGGAGGUGGUAAGUGACUGGCACAUAAGAUUAGGAGGAAGUUGCAGAUCAUUCAUUUAACAAAUAGGAAAGUUAGCACUGCGGUAAGUUAAAUAAAGGGAGGUGGUAAGUGGCUGGCACUUCAGAUUUCUAUAGCUGUCUACUUUGCUGAAAGUACUAUCUGAUCUUGCAACUGAUAAGCAUGUAUUUUCUUCUGAUUGAGUGAAUCUAGUGCUUGAACCGCCUAGACACAACAACAACAACAAAGCCUUUAGUCCCAAACAAGUUGGGUAGGCUAGAGAUGAAACCCAUAAGAUCUCGCGACCAACUCAUUGUUCUAGCACAUGGAUAGCAAGCUUCCACGCACCCCUAUCCAUGGCGAGUUCUUUGGACCGCCUAGACACAACCCUCAUUAAUAUGUGUCCCUCCACAACAUUCAGAACUAGAUGAAAGCUUAGAUAUGGAGGUAGAAUUUAGAAGUUAUAUUUCUUCUCGUUCUUCUUCUAUGUUUAACAAAUAAAAAUUAAACAGGCUACAUAUUGUUUCAAGUGUAUCAAAACGCUGGCCGAGCUGCAGAUAAUCACCAUAGCAUUCAAAUUCACCUGUGAUUUAUAAUAACUAUGAACAAAGGCGAAAUCACAAGUACAAGCAGGUCGCAAGAUCUGAUUAGCAUGGAAAACCUUCAGAGCAGCCAGCGGCCAACAGUAGAAACACCCAGGGCAGAUACUCAAUACUAUACUUGAUGCAAAGUCAUCAGCAUCAAUUUUCAAUCAUUCAAACUAAAAGCUCAACACAGGAUUUGCUACACAAUGCAAAGCUUAGUACUAGUUAGUACCAGAAGGCUCUAGGUCAUUUGUGAGAAAGAAAAUAGGAGUUUUGAAUCCUUUCAAUGUAUGUUUUACCAUUAGACAGUCAAAUAAAAACAAUUGCACCUGCCCACAGCUUAUCCCUCAGUUAACCGUUCCUAAAGAGGGGAUGCACCCCAGUCCUCAGCACACAUGACUCGAAGUCUCACUGCUGGAAAAACGAAUCUACAGGUACAACAGAAGAUUAGGGGCAAGAGACAGCAGAAUCGCUAGAUAUCCCUGCGACUUGGAUUGCCAGCUACGAUCCAGACAACACCACCCAAAACAUAUAGAAAGCAUUAAUCUACAGCACAUACAGCAACCGCGUCCGUGGAUUGGUGGCAGUACUUCUUCUCACCUCUCCGUCCUUCGACGGUUGCGGACGCUGAGCGCCCCUCGUCGCCGACGCCGACAAGGAGAGAGCAGGGAUUUCGCAGAGAGAGAGCAGGGAUUUGUCGUUUUUUUUUUCUUGAAACGCAGGGGAUUGACCAUUGGUG
This 5172-nucleotide long non-coding RNA is filed under the name Hordeum vulgare. RNAcentral describes it as "long non-coding RNA (HVUL_LNC009231)". The record is from RNAcentral. Lineage: Eukaryota; Viridiplantae; Streptophyta; Magnoliopsida; Poales; Poaceae.